ACGGAGGGUGCAAGCGUUAUCCGGAAUCACUGGGUUUAAAGGGUGCGUAGGCUGUUCAAUAAGUCAGUUGUGAAAUUCCCCGGCUUAACCGGCGGGACUGCGAUUGAUACUGUUGGACUUGAAUCAGGUUGAGGUAGGCGGAAUGUGGCAUGUAGCGGUGAAAUGCAUAGAUAUGCCAUAGAACACCGAUUGCGAAGGCAGCUUGCUGGACCUUGAUUGACGCUGAGGCACGAAAGCGUGGGGAGCAAACAGG
RNAcentral lists this ribosomal RNA (253 nucleotides) under uncultured bacterium. RNAcentral's name for it is "partial 16S ribosomal RNA". It matches the Rfam family "Bacterial small subunit ribosomal RNA", at positions 525 to 776 of the family's 1533-position model. The record is from RNAcentral.